CGAUGGCAGUAUUAUUUGUGUUGUUGUAAUGUAAGUCAGCAGCCAGCUUCUAGCUAGGCACAGUUUACCGCACUGUCUCGUAGCUUGAAAACACGUGCUGAGUUUGGGGAGAGAGGUGGGCAGUAGCUGGUGGGGCAGCUCGGGAGUGUCGUCCAGCCAGUAUUGAUGUCCAAGUCUUGACCCCAGACUGCGUGGCUCCUUGUGUACUAUAUUAUAGAUGAAGAAGUGAUCUUAUCAUGGGUGCAUUUCUAGAUAAGCCAAAAACAGACAAACACAACGAGAAUGGGGUCGGCAAUGGACUUCGGUAUGGGCUGUCUAGUAUGCAGGGCUGGCGCAUUGAAAUGGAGGAUGCCCAUGCUGCUGUAGCCAAUCUUCCUGGUGUGCUCAAGGAUUGGGCAUUUUUUGCAGUGUUUGAUGGCCAUGCCGGUGCCAAAAUAUCGGCCCACUGUUCUGAACACCUCCUGAAUUCCAUCACAUCAGGCGAGGAAUUUCUACCAUCCUCGAUUGCUGAGUUUGAAACAGAUUCAGAGGAGAGGACUAUAAACAAGAUUAAGAAGGGUAUUCAUGCUGGUUUUUUGAGACUAGAUGAGUCCAUGCGCCAAAUGCCAGAGGUUGCCAGUGGAGAAGACAAGAGUGGCACAACUGCUGUAUGUGCCCUAAUUUCUCCAACGCAUGUGUUUGUCGCCAAUUGUGGAGAUUCCCGUGGAGUCCUAUACCGUGGUGGUGGUAUUGGGUUCAGCACACAGGAUCACAAGCCAGUCAAUCCUACAGAAAAGGAGAGAAUUCAAAAUGCAGGAGGAAGUGUGAUGAUACAAAGAGUCAAUGGUUCUCUGGCUGUUUCAAGAGCACUUGGAGAUUAUGAGUACAAAAAUGUAGAGGGGAAGGGUCCUUGUGAACAGUUAGUGUCCCCAGAGCCAGAGAUAUACGUGGAACGCCGGCAAGACGAUGAUGAGUUCUUAGUGUUAGCAUGUGAUGGAAUUUGGGAUGUUAUGACCAAUGAGGACCUGUGUGCCUUUGUGCGGUCACGACUUCUCAUCUCUGAUGACCUCGAAGCCAUUACAAACCAUGUUGUUGACACAUGCCUUCAUAAGGGGAGCAGAGAUAAUAUGAGCUUAGUGUUGAUUACUCUGCCAGGAGCACCAAAAGUUUCAGAAGAGGCUAAGAAGAAAGAACAAGAACUAGAGGACUUGAUAGAAAAGAAAGUAACUGAGUUAUGUAAACAGGAGGGGCAAGUGAGCAUUGCACAGAUAAUGCAGUCCCUUGCUGAUGAAAAUCUACCCAAUCUUCCUCCUGGUGGAGGUCUAACAUCCAAGCGAGGCUUCGUGGAUCAGAUAUUCAGAAAAUUACGACCUGACUGUGCAAACUUGGAUAACAUGGAAGAAGUUGAGGAUUAUGGUGGACUGGUUGGUAAUUUGAUGUUCCUCCCAAGUACAUCCAUGCAAGACAAGCUAGCCUCCAUUUUGGAAAUCUCCCGAUCCCGUGAUGACUCAUCUUAAGAAAGUUGGUGAUGAUGCAGGGUUGCUCAGGGUUAGGUUGGGGGUACAAGGAUAAUGAUGCCUACAGUAGUGAUUGUUGCACCUAGGGUCUCCUGAUCUUAUCACCAGCCACAGCUACCCAGCGAUAAAAUAAAAAAAAAAAUAAAUAAAAAAUAAAUAAAAACUUUUAAAGUGUUGAUGUGCUGAUGUUACAGUUUAUGCAAGUGUGCAGAAGCAUUCAACAGACAGGUCAAGUUCAGUGAUGAGUUGACCUUGGGUGAAGCCUUAGUGAUGCUUUUACUCACCAUUGCAUGACAAUUUUUGGUCAUGAUACAUUAAUGUUAUUUGUGUUAAUGGUGGGGAAGUCUGUGGGAAUGUUUCCCUGGGUUCUUAAUGAUGAUAGUUUGUAAUCCGGGCUCACUCAUGUAGCUUUCUAGCUGUGUAACUUAUUUACUUAUCUGCCAUGAAUUUUUGUAAGAAAACCCAGGUACGUAUUACCUAUGAUACAUUAGAGAACCCAGUUGUUCAUUUGCCAACUACUCCACUGCAUGGCUAUGUCACGGAUCUGAGAGGUGUUAUUAGAAGCAGAAAAAAUGUGUGUGUAAUGCUGUCAGGCCUGAGGCUUCAUAUAUGGUUGAUGAGUCACUGACUUGCCCUAAAUAUUUUUGCAGUCAGAUGUGCUAGUUUCAUAAUGUGAUAGUCGUAAUGCUUUCCCCUUCCAGACAAAACUUAGUAUCACCUGUGAAUCACUGAGUGUAUAGAGCCAGUCCAUUUUGAUAUAUAUAUAUAUAUAUAUAUAUAUAUAUAUAUAUAUAUAUAUAUAUAUAUAUAUAUAUAUAUAUAUAUAUAUAUAUAUAUACUCAUACAUAUAUAUAUAUCACACACACACACACACACACACACACACACACACACACACAGUAUAUAUAUAUAUAUAUAUAUAUAUAUAUAUAUAUAUAUAUAUAUAUAUAUAUAUAUAUAUAUAUAUAUAUAUAUAUAUAUAAAGGUCAUAGUUAAGACUGAAAUCUCGCAAUUAUUAAUCCUUACUGUAUGUUUCGGUUUAUAAGGUAACUGAUCUUGUAAAAAAAAACUAUAGAUUUUCAAGAAAAGUUUAGUUUUUGAACUAUUUUCUCUAUAUUAGAUGCUGUCCUCUCCCUUAAUGGUGCACCUGUUCAAGAGAAAUGAGGAUUCAGCUGAACCUUGUAGGAUUGUGAAGGCAUAACUGCCCUUUUAAUGGAAUGAAUCCAGUUCCACAUGGAUGUUCAUGGAUGGUUUCCCAGGUUAUUUAGUACUCUUAUAACAUACUAACCACACCACCAUUAUGUAUCCAUCAAAUUUUAUUCGAAACUGGCCUCCAGAAAAUCUUUAUCUCUGCACUUGCCUCUUCUUAAGGGAAUAUUCCACUUGGAAAUUUAUGAAAAAUUAAAAUUUCCCAUUAUGAAAAUAUUUCCUCUAAUGCUGCCAUUAAUUAGCUAUAUUUUUUGCAAGUAUAAAGGCUGUAUCUCAACUUUUACAAAGUAAAAAUUGAGAUACAGCCUUUGUAUUUUUUGAAACAGUAACCACUACUUUUAAAAAGAAUAAAUAGAUUGAUGCAUUCCCUCCUUGCUUUGUGGGUUGGUCACAUGUGUUGCAUUAUUUCCAUUUUCUGUUCAUGCAUGUAGUUGACAGUAGGAGAAUUCAUGUAAUUUCAACAAUGUUUGUGCUUCAGUAUGAUAAUUUGGGCACUCCUUUUGGAAACUGUACAACCAAGUAGUGUCUGGGCUAGAAGAGAACUUUAUCAGUGCUGGCUUAGGUUUUUGAGAGGAAGGAUGCAUACCACCUCUUGUUCUCAUAUGAUGCCAGUGUUUCUGCAUUUAUAAGUCCUUGGAAGAUUCAUUCUUGUCUGUCAAGACUCUCAAGCUAUUGGAGAAGGCACAGGCAUACCAUAAAAAAGCCCCAUUGUCCACAGAGUCUAUUAAUCACAGUGGAAUGAAGAAAGACAGGCAUUGUCUCACACUACACAUAGCACAUCUUUAUCACAGAAUCUAUAUUUUCAAUAAUCAUAGGUUGUUCUCUACCUUGUUGAGAAGGAAAGUCAGUUACCAUGGCACUACCACAGCAAACAACUAAUGUGAUGGUAAACACCAUCAAUGAAUUUGACAAUCCUGCAAAAAAGUAUUAUGUAUGUGACAUGUGACUGCAUGAAUCCUGAUGUGGCAACCAUGCAUGAAGUUCCACAUUUGCUCUCCUGCCUAUGUCCACACUUCCUUUAGGCUCCAGUAGUACUGUUUUUGCAUUAUUGUACAUUUUUCAAAGACUUUAUCUGUAGCUUUUUUUUUUUUUUUUUUUUUUUUUUUUUUUUUUUUUUUUUUCUCUCCAAUAUGGAAUCUUGUGGGUAUGACCCUAACAAAAGUAAGAACAAUAGCAUUUUGAUGUGUUGUGGUGUGUGUGUGUGUGUGUGUGUGUGUGUGUGUGUGUGUGUGUGUGUGUGUGUAUAUAUAUAUAUAUAUAUAUAUAUAUAUAUAUAUAUAUAUAUAUAUAUAUAUAUAUAUAUAUAUAUAUAUAUAUAUAUAUAUAUAUAUAUACAUACAUACAUACAUACAUACAUACAUACAUACACUACUACCACCACAACCACCACCACCACAACCACCACAACCACAACUACUAGUACUACUAUUGUAAUUAUUGUUGCUAUUAUUACUUUAUUGAUUUAUUUUUAUAUUAUUUUCUUUAAUUUAUUAAUUUAUUUUUUAAUAAAUAAGUAAAGUUAUAGAUCUGGUUGCCAGUUUUCUGUGUGUGGAUGUAAUAUAUAUAUAUAUAUAUAUAUAUAUAUAUAUAUAUAUAUAUAUAUAUAUAUAUAUAUAUAUAUAUAUAUAUAUAUAUAUUACACACACACACACACUGCAUUCUUCUUUACAUGCAAAAAACAUGAAAGAUGGUGGUGGUCAUCAUUGGCAGGUAACAGAAUGAGUUGGAGCUUGAGUACUUGACUUAAUGCUCAUCAUCAUGUUAUAGAUUUGUAUUUUACCAUGAGUAUAUAAGGCAAGCCAUAGGUUUGAGAGAUUUAUAAUAUCCUUUAAAUAGCAUCUUAUAAACCGAUGUAUAUGGUAUUUAUUAAUUAACUCUAUAAAAGGAGGCGCUCAGUACUCAGAUUGUGAUUCCAAGAUGAUUUAGGACUAUACUUAGGAGGCACACUGGAGGUUGCCACCACACAGGAGGCAAAAGUGAAUGUUACAAGGCAUACACAAGAUAAGACAGGGAUUACUACUGUGUGGUGCCAUUGAUGGUGUGGUGCUUCUGAGUACUGGCCAAGACUGUCUCUUGAAGGAAAGUGUGUAAGAAUAUAAUAUGUUAAUACAGUUAAUAAGUUUUAUGCUUUUCUCUGCAUACACCUCUUAUUUCAUCUUACUUUGAAGUGAUGUUUGUAGAUAAAAUAUAAGACUGAGAAAACCUUGUGUUCAUAGUUCUUGUGAGACUAUGUUCCAAUAGUAUAUAGGCUUCAUGUGCCUGUUUUCACAAGUCUUUAGGUAGGCAUUUGCCUGUUUGAAAAGCAAAUGACUUACCUGACCUGAAGCUUGAUAUAGAGUUUAAUAUUUUCAUUAAAACCAUUAUUGAAUAGUUCAAAGACCCCUAGGCAGUGGUUAUUUCCUCAUAGAGUGGGUCACUGCCCAGGGUUGGUGGGCUAUGCAGUAACCAGAAAGGCUCCUGUGUUACUUUUCUCAUUGCCAGUAACAGCCAAAUGGCUCCGGCUUACCUAAGCUCUGACACCUGUCCAAUAUCUCAUGGCUUAAAAGUAUUUAAUCUGUCUUGUGUAAGAGAGAAAUGUAGAAUUUUAUCUGGAUAUUCUCAAUAUUUAAACAUUUUUGUUCAUGAAUUUUGGUUAUUCAUGAAUUUAUCCAGUCCUUUAUUGGAAACUAAAAUGAAAAUGACAGUUAUAGAAGGCAAGCUUAUAAUCUGUUUGAUCUCUUCUACUCUUACCCCAAUUAUGUGGAAUUCCAUUACAAUGUCUAUAUUAGAAAAGUUUCCACUUCUCAAGAAAUGUACACUUACUUUGGCAUAUACUUUGGCAUAUCCCAUCUUUAUUGUUCUCCUAUUUCUCCUUUUUUCUCAAUUAUUUCAGCACUAUGUUUUAUGAGUCUCAUCACGAGACGAGGUAUAUCUUCUUGUGAAGAAGGCUGGCAGUUUGUAAUUUUGAUAUAUAGUGUUUUUAGCUAUGGGGCCUUCAUUUUGUUUUUAAUCUAUUAAUAAGACUGGCAUGAUUUUUUUUCUUGGACAUGUUGGUAUGAGACAACAGAAUAAGAAAAUUAAAAGUGUAAAAAAUUGGAAUGAGAAAAUGAAGUUACCAUCACACACUGCUGGAGCUUGUCUCUGUUGUUAAAUAUUAUAAAAUGACUUAAUUAUAUUUAUUUUGUUCCAUCCUUCUUUCAUUGUUCUAAUGCCCAAUACUAACAUGCUUGUCAUAGAAUUAUGAGCUUCAUGCCUAAGAAAUAGGCAUGAAACUCCCUUUGCCAAUGUUCUGAACUUUAUGCAAUGUAUAGUUAAGCUGUCAAUACUUCAUCCUGAUACCAUCUCUUACCUGAAGACCUAGGAGACAGUUGUUUUACUCAUUCACUAGGUAUAUUUCACAGAAGACACUGAUUUUAAGUAUUUGAGGGAACUUUGAAAUGAAACAAUCAUAUACAGGCAGGCUAUCUAUAUUUGACCUACUUUUAUUUUUAAAAGGUUAAAUUUGUAAGAUCACUUAUUUCAUGGUUACUGCUCACAAUAUUAUUUAUGUAUUGAAGUAUAUAGAUGGCUAACACUAUCAUCACCUUAUGCCACCUCUACUCUGCAAGCAGCACAUAAUAUCUAUACCUUUAAAACUGGACAAAAAAUUAUUUUUGGCAGGUUAAUAGUGAAGUAAACAACAUUGGCUAGUUAGCAGAUGUUGCUCAGGAAGGCUGGAAAGUUGUGGGUUACAUGUAACUCACUGAUUAAGGAUGAUGCAGAAAAAACAUAACAUAGCAUAUUAAUAUUAUUACUUCUUGUCUAUGGUUGUAUAAUUUUCUCCAUGAUUAGAAGAACAAGAUUGGGAAUUAUAACAAAAACACCAACAAUUAGUAUUGUGUCAUGUACAGUCAUGCAGGUACUUAAAUAGGUAAGGAGUGCUUGUACUAUUCAAGCAUGUUGUUUACUGGCAGAGCUUACAUAUAGAAAAGCUACAUGUAAACUAGUAUAGAAAAGGCAAUUUCAAGCAUAUUUCCCUUUAUGUUAUCAUGGUCACCAUAUACAUCUGGCCAUUAAAUAAUACAGAAUUUUAUAUUUUUAGGGGUAUCCUUAAAAAAGUUUUUUUUUAACAAAGCAGACAACUUGAGACUAAUGAUAUGACAAUAUGUAGGUUCAUCUGUGUUGCUUUCUAUCUCUGAUUUAGUGUGUUUACAUAUUGAAAUGCUGCUGAAGUGUUCUACUAAGGCUGUUCACAAAUAAUUAUUUUCAAUAUAAUGAUACCUUUUCAGUGAAGUAAAUGUGAAAUGGUCAGACAUAAAUGUAGUCUGAUAGAGCAUUAACUUCAAUUUCUUAGCAAUAUAAUACUGCUGACCCACUACCUAAUAAUUUCUUAGCAAUAUAAUACUGCUGACCCACUCCCUAAGCCCAUUGUGCAUAGCUCAAAGUUCAGAUAAACCCAUCAUGAGUUGAGAAUAUCACAAGUCUAAGAAUCAUAAGAUUUUUUGCAGUUCUGAAUUUGUUUUGUAUUCAUGUUUUCAUGCUCAGUGAAUUUAUAUUUGAUGGUUCACAGUAUGUAUGUCAUCCAUCUAGAACCCUCAUAUCAUGCAUUUGCUUUAUUCCUUUAUCUUUGUCAUCUCCCAUCAUGCACUUAGUGCAAUGACUAUAUUUGUUUUGUCUAGAGGCAUGAAAAUACAACAUCAGACAUUUUAAAGGCCAACAUAUCUGACUUAUUUCUGAAGACUCCCCAAAAAGAGAUGGCCAAAAGAGAAGAGUCUAUUUAUUUUGUACUUGCAUCUUUGCAUACCUAAAUUUUUUCACUUUUCUCUUCCUUUUUGUUCUCAUUCUUCAGGACUGGCCUCACAUGUCACCUGAGGAUGUCCUUUCACACACACACACACACUGUAUUUACUUGUCUCAUACUCACUUCAUCUCAUUUUCUGCCAUUUUUCCCUGUGGAUGAAAUAUUUAUAUUUCACAGCUCAGCCACUCAUUUAAUUUCUUCAUAUUUUCUUAGCAUGCAAAUUGUCUCUGCAUACUAGAGACUUAAACCUUUCAAGUGAUUCAUUGUAUUUGAUUCUUGAUCACUGUAAUCUAACACCAAACGUGAAAGUGCUAUGGCUAAAUAAGUCUUGUCUAAAAACAUAACAUGGUAUCUGGUGUAUAAACAGGCAAAACAUUCAGUCAACCUAUUAGGUGAUCCAAGUCCUGGCAGGAAAUAAUGCCUCUUACUUAGACUCUUCCAUCUCUACCAGACUUAGGCCACAUCUUAGAUGAAUUAGCAAACCUCAACAGAUAUGGUGAUGGAUGUGUAAGUUGGAAAAUUAAGUGAUAUGUUUUUUUCCAUGGUUGCCUCAAGUCAACUGUACUUGUUGCCAUACAAACACAAGUACAUUGCACAUUGAAGUUACAUCACUUUCUAAUGUCUCCACUUCAUAACAUUUAAUUGAGAUUCUUAAUAGCCUGGUUGGUGAGAGCAAUUUAAGAUAGGAAGAUAGUUGAUUUAAAAAAUAAAUGAACACCAACAGUAAGCAAAUAUCCCUAGAGACCGGAAGGUGAAGAAAUUGUGUCAUAUUGCAUUUCAAAAUAUAAAAUGGGAAAGAAAGAUUUCUACAUCACAAUAUAUUCAUAGAAUACUAUCUUAAUUAAAAGUACAAUUUGUUUUUUUCUUGUGACAAGUAAUUCCAUCUUUUUGCCCAAAAAUAUAUAUGGUUCAGCAUUUACACAAGUAUACAUACAAUAUUCAAGAAAGAGAUCUAUAAAAUAUAUAUAGAUAAUGGUUAUAUGAAUAAUACAGUGCUUUAUAAUGAAAAUUAAUAUAAAGGAGGGUUGUGCUUCAAGCUGGUCACAACUGAGAACACCUUGCAGUAACAACAACUGAAAAUAUACAUGUGCUGCAUGUAAUUACCAUCAUUCCAGUGAUUUAUAUUGUUUCAUACUUAUGCCUGAGGCUGGAGGCAUGAACAUAUUUAUUUCAUAGCAGCAGGAAACCUGAUUGUUCAUGACUAGGAUGAAGAUGGAGGAUGUGGAAUGUUGCCUCUUUGGUAUCUUAGUGUAUUGCAUGCUAAUGGCUUCGGCUUUUGGCUUUUCAAAUGUGUCAAGAGGAGAUUAAACAUUUACUGCAUGUUGGGUUAAUUUAAUUUUCUAGACAUUUAUUACUGAGUGUAACCAAAUAUUGCACUUGUGUCAUUGUUUGGUAAAACAAAAUGUUUGUGUUAGUGGUAUAAAGCACAGCACAGAAGGAUAUGGUUUUGCACUACUUGGUGGUCACUGUUGGAUUUCACACAUGAUAUUGUAUAUUCAGUGGAAGACUGUGUAUUGGAUUCAUGUACAAAUAAGAAUUUUGAGAUGAUUGGAGGCAAUUCAGAAAAAAAAGAAAAAGUUUUAAUAUUGUGUACUGGUUAAUUUUUUCAGCUGUGUUCACCAAUAUAUGACAAAACAUUAGAUGUGCAUUAUAAAGUUUUCCUUAAAAAAGAAGAAAAGGAAAUAGAAAGAAAGAAAAAUAAAAGUGAGUAUACAUACACAUAAAGAACAUAUACUCUGCUGCACAUGCAUAAGGGGAGCUUGCCUGCAUCAUGGUUUCCAACAUCAUAAUGUUCAUGAAAAUUAGUACUAAAACUCACUCAUUUAUUAGAAUUCAUGGAAGUAUUUAUAAGGACUCAAGGAGCCAAAUGAUGAUGAAUGUUGAGGAUCCACUGUGUGUGUGUGUGUGUAAUUCAUGGUUAAUCAGACCAUUGUCUAUAAAACAGUUAGAUCAUGAGAUCACACAAUACAUAUUUUGUCAGGACUUGGAAGCACAGUCUUUUGCUCUGUAUAAAUCAUGACUUUUCAUGAAAAAUUUUAAUUUCUCAUAAAUGUCAUGUAUACUUUUAGUAGGUACUUACAUACUGUAUGAACCCUCAGUACAUCAUGGUAGAAAAUUAGAUUUUUUUUUUUUUUUUAACUCUGAUGACAAACUGACAGCAAUUUUAUCUUUAGAAUAUAUUCACAUAUAAGUUUCCUUCAUUGUAGUUGCCAGCUUAUAAGAUGCACAUCUUCACAUGCAAAUUUUAUUUAUUAUAUUUGCCUAUAGGAUGUAAUACCUGCUUUAACUGGUGACAAAACUAUCACCAACAGCAAAAGUGUUGCAAGUACAUUUGUCAGGGAAGUAAUGUGGCCAAGCAUGGGAAAGAGAGAUGCAACAAGGGAAGAGCAUGAAUGACAUGCAAAUUUAGUUACAAUACAUAUUUAAAAUAAAAACAUAGUUGAAUAGUUCUAAAAUUUGUUGAUUACUUAUAUUUGUGUUAUUGGGUAUUGUGUACAAGUCAAAUAUCAAGUUUCUUAUUAUCGCAUGUGUAGUUGAUUUCAUGUAACAGUUAUGACUGGAAAUCACCUCUUGAACAUCUCCCCCCUCUCCCCCCCCUCAAAAAAAAAGGACUAAUUUUUUUUCUUUUGUUCUUUCAUUGUUUGUUUAUGGGCAAUAUGUGAAGAGUUUAUAAUACAAGGGAUGAACUAAACUAGCCCUCAUUUUUUCAUUUUUUGAUUGACCCAUGUACUACUAAAUGACUAUAAAUGUACAAGUUCAUCCUUUGUAUGUUCAACAUCUCAUAAUAUAAUCAAUGAUUUCAACAGUGCAAUAUUUUCAGUGGUCAGUUUUCUCUCAACUAAAGCUGAAUAUAAAAAUUGACAGUGAUCUUAGACCUCAACAUAAUAACUUUUCUCAAUUUCACUGUUAGUAAAAACCAUAGCUUCUUGGUAAAUUAGCCUAUAUUGUAUUUACAUAUGUGUUCAAUAAUUAAAUACUUAAAAGCUUUACAGCAAAGACAGUAAAGAGCUAUGUAUUUUCUUGCAGAAAGGAUAGAUGUACCUUUUGGAAGACAACUGAUCCAUUGUGUGCCAUAGGAUAGACUGUGUCUUUAGUUUCCUAUUUGACUUUUCUUAGAUACUUAUGUGUUAUGGUUUGUGAUGGUGUCCUUCAAUGGAUUUUUUUUCACUGUUGAUUGUUACUGGUACAAAAUGCACCAUUCUAAACCAUGACCGUGUAAGUAAAGUACUUCUGGUUUGCUAAAGCCAUGGUUAAUUUUGGAUCAAAGGAUACACCUUUGUUUUAAUCUUACUGUAGGAAGCUUUAUUAUGUUUCCCUUCACAAGUCUUCCUAUUCAUUAAGUUCAUUGAUUCUUUACAUUAUGUUGAAAAGAAAACAAAAUCCUACUCAGAUAAGUAGAGUAGCUAUCAGUUGUGGGGAAAGGUGUUUCAGUAUUCUCAUAUUCUCCAGGUGGCAGAGCUUAGUGAUCCGCAAAGGAAAGGAACAGGUGUUCUUGCUAUUUGAUAAUGGUUUUAUUAUAAAUUGUUAUAAAAAAGCACAAAAUGUUACUAUAAUAUGAAAAAUUGACCACUGAUUGUGUACGAUAUAUUGUUAUUAUACUUUGUACUUUACGUGCUCAGGAAAAGAUACAAAUUUUAUAACAGAAAAUGGGCAGAUGAAAGUGGCAAUCAAU
This is an RNA transcript of Scylla paramamosain (green mud crab), 11137 nucleotides long. It is a transcript of the gene named protein phosphatase 1B-like, with no coding region annotated. Lineage: Eukaryota; Metazoa; Arthropoda; Malacostraca; Decapoda; Portunidae. The record is from RefSeq and is a predicted model, not a curated record. The transcript has 11 exons.